GGAAUCAUAUCUUAACCCUAAACUGUCAGCUGCAAAUUGAAAUGCUCAUCUCUGGCUAUAAUUUUGGCUGAAAGGGGAAUGAAAGUGAUGUUGAGCUCCUGGAGGACACUGUGGACACAUAAUGUGAAUUAAUGACCUUCGACUGGACCUCGGUAGAUCAUUGUGCAGAAGCUCAUCACUCAACUUAAUCCACGAACUCGCCAAAGGUCAAUGGUGACUACAAAGUCUAUAGGAACCUUCUGCUUUGUCAUGAUGAGUGACAGCUCCUCAUCUCCCAGAACGAGUUGUGGCCAGAAGCCCCCCUGCUCCAGUGCAGGUACCUCACAUCUCUCCACCCCAGCAGGGGCCUGGGCACAGGCAAGACCAACAACAUCUGCUGAAAUUCCAUAAGACACUCAUGUUCAUCACUUCAAGUAAUGAAUUUGGCAUGAACAGUAAAUGCCAAGAUUC
Long non-coding RNA from Neofelis nebulosa (Clouded leopard), 450 nucleotides. RefSeq lists it as uncharacterized. The transcript has 4 exons. The record is from RefSeq and is a predicted model, not a curated record. Lineage: Eukaryota; Metazoa; Chordata; Mammalia; Carnivora; Felidae.